AAGUCGUAACAAGGUUUCCGUAGGUGAACCUGCGGAAGGAUCAUUACAAAUCAGUAGCUUGCUACUGCGCUGGGGGAGACGGGAAAGUCCUGGCUGAAAAGUCGGUGUACCGGUACCUACACCCCUAUCAUACCCUUGUCUUUUGAGUACUUAUGUUUCCUUGGUAGGCUUGCCUGCCAAUAGGACAAACUUUAAACCUUUGUAAAUAUCAAUCAGCGUCUGAAAAAUAAUUAAUAAUUACAACUUUCAACAACGGAUCUCUUGGUUCUG
Molecule: unclassified non-coding RNA, 270 nt
Filed under: Leptospora rubella
Lineage: Eukaryota; Fungi; Ascomycota; Dothideomycetes
Also listed under: 2 other names
Description: partial internal transcribed spacer region
Rfam family: Eukaryotic small subunit ribosomal RNA (bases 1-46)
Source: RNAcentral